GACGAACGCUGGCGGCGUGCUUAACACAUGCAAGUCGAACGGACAGGCCCUGCUUUUGCGGGGUGCUCGAGUGGCGAACGGGUGAGUAACACGUGAGUAACCUGCCCCUGACUUUGGGAUAACUUCAGGAAACUCGGGCUAAUACCGGGUAGGAGCUCCUGCUGCACGGGGGGCGUUGGAAAGAGUCGGCGGUUGGGGCUGGUCUCGCUGCUUAUCAGCUGGUUGGUGGGGUAGUGGCUUACCAAGGCUUUGACGGGUAGCCGGCCUGAGAGGGUGACCGGCCACAUUGGGACUGAGAUACGGCCCAGACUCCUACGGGAGGCAGCAGUGGGGAAUAUUGCACAAUGGGCGGAAGCCUGAUGCAGCAACGCCGCGUGCGGGAUGACGGCCUUCGGGUUGUAAACCGCUUUCGCCUGUGACGAAGCGUGAGUGACGGUAAUGGGUAAAGAAGCACCGGCUAACUACGUG
This 468-nucleotide ribosomal RNA is filed under the name uncultured bacterium. RNAcentral describes it as "partial 16S ribosomal RNA". It matches the Rfam family "Bacterial small subunit ribosomal RNA", at positions 28 to 507 of the family's 1533-position model. The record is from RNAcentral.